Molecule: ribosomal RNA, 447 nt
Filed under: uncultured bacterium
Lineage: Bacteria
Description: bacterial SSU rRNA
Rfam family: Bacterial small subunit ribosomal RNA
Source: RNAcentral
CCAGACUCCUACGGGAGGCAGCAGUGGGGAAUAUUGGGCAAUGGAGGAAACUCUUACCCAGCAAUGCCGCGUGAGUGAAGAAGGUCUUCGGAUUGUAAAGCUCUUUGAUUGGGGAUGAAUAAAUGACGGUACCCAAAGAACAAGCCCCGGCUAACUACGUGCCAGCAGCCGCGGUAAUACGUAGGGGGCAAGCGUUAUCCGGAUUUACUGGGUGUAAAGGGAGCGUAGACGGUUAUGCAAGUCUGGAGUGAAAGGCGGGGGCUCAACCCCCGGACUGCUCUGGAAACUGUAGAACUAGAGUGCAGGAGGGGUAAGUGGAAUUCCUAGUGUAGCGGUGAAAUGCGUAGAUAUUAGGAGGAACACCAGUGGCGAAGGCGGCUUACUGGACUGUAACUGACGUUGAGGCUCGAAAGCGUGGGGAGCAAACAGGAUUAGAUACCCCAGUAA